This 468-nucleotide ribosomal RNA is filed under the name uncultured bacterium. RNAcentral's name for it is "partial 16S ribosomal RNA". It matches the Rfam family "Bacterial small subunit ribosomal RNA", at positions 28 to 507 of the family's 1533-position model. The record is from RNAcentral.
GACGAACGCUGGCGGCGUGCUUAACACAUGCAAGUCGAACGAAAAGGCCCUGCUUUUGUGGCGUGCUCGAGUGGCGAGCGGGUGAGUAACACGCGAGUAACCUGCCCUUGAAUUACGGAUAACUUCAGGAAACUGGGGCUAAUACCGGAUAUGAGCUACUGCUGCACGUUGGGGGAUAGUAAGUUUCGGCGGUUGGGGAUAGACUCGCGGCUUAUCCGCUUGUUGGUGGGGUAGUUGCUUACCAAGGCUUUGACGGGUAGCCGGCCUGAGAGGGUUAACGGCCACAAUGGGACUGAGAUACGGCGCAGUAGCCUACGGGAGGCAGCAGUGGGGAAUAUUGCACAAUGGGCGGAAGCCUGAUGCAGAAACGCCGCGUGCGGGAUGACGGCCUUCGGGGUGUAAACCGCUGUCGACGGUGACGAAGCGGGAGUGACGGUAAUGGGUAAAGAAGCACCGGCUAACUACGUG